UUAAUGGUUAACCUAACUGUUCCCUUGAGAAAGUAGGCGAUUAAGUAUGGCGACCUGGAAGUGUCUCGACCCGGAAGACCUUGUCCGUAUGUCCCGUAUAGCGGAGGGGUAGCAGGUCAGAAUUUUUUACUAUUUGGAACGAGGUACCGUUUAAGUGUGGUAAAACAUAUAAACCAAAAUAGGUCAAACAGCCUCCGUUUGAGGAGAAAGUUUGAGCCUAUAAAAAUCGACGAAUAAACAUAUAGUUCUCAAAGUUGUUGUGGUUUCCGGACAAACUCGCCUAGGUAUAAAAUGUGAGGUGUUGCUAGUUGUAUGCACAGAAUUCAUCUGCCCACGGAAGAACUUGAUCGCUCUUUUCCGCUCCUCAAUCGAAUUUGUUUUCAAUUUCUUCAGUCUCUUUUUACACAUUUCGGCAAAAUGAUGAAAACUAUUUUGGCAAUGGCUGUCCUAGUUGCUGUUCUCAGCAUGGAGAUUUUGGCGGCUAGUUUAAAUUCUCCUCAAGUUCAGGAGGAGACUCCUGCAGAAGAGCGUACGUUUGGCUUGUUAGCCCUGUUCGCGAUCUGGCCUGCCAUCAAAGGCUUCUUCAAAAGUAUUUUUGCUCCCGCAGCCGUUACCUACUAGAGGAAAAAUCAACUUCAACUUGACACUCGUCUACAUCAUGUUUUCAAUCUGCAUCUGUUUUUUUCCUUACGAGAUGUAAAUAACGUAUCGCAUAAUCGGAAUCAAGGUCAAUUCAAGGGAAGUUUUUUUUCCCGUAUCCUUCUUUGAACUGCCAUUCAAUGUGCUGUGCGCAAAUACAAUGAGCGAUAAUUAUUCCUGACAGGGAUACUUGCAAUAAAAUCUCAUGUACCACUCA
Molecule: long non-coding RNA, 856 nt
Organism: Daphnia pulex (common water flea)
Lineage: Eukaryota; Metazoa; Arthropoda; Branchiopoda; Diplostraca; Daphniidae
Exons: 2
Source: RefSeq, a predicted model, not a curated record